This 380-nucleotide ribosomal RNA is filed under the name uncultured eukaryote. RNAcentral describes it as "partial 18S ribosomal RNA". It matches the Rfam family "Eukaryotic small subunit ribosomal RNA", at positions 592 to 976 of the family's 1831-position model. The record is from RNAcentral.
CAAUAGCGUAUAUUAAAGUUGUUGCGGUUAAAAAGCUCGUAGUUGGAGUUCUGCCAGGUGCCGCCUGUCCGCCCCAGUGGUGAGUACGUGGCGCGCAUUUGGCCCUUUCAAGGGGAGCGUAUCUGCACUUUAUUGUGUGGUGCGGGAUCCUUGACUUUUACUUUGAGGAAAUAGGAGUGUUCCAAGCAGGCUCUCGUCGUGCACAGCUCAGCAUGGAAUAAUAGCAUUGGACCUCGAUUCUAAGCUGUUGGUUGCCAGAAGCGAGGUAAUGAUGAAGAGGGAUAGUUGGGGGCAUUCGUAUUUAACUGUCUGAGGUGAAAUUCUUGGAUUUGUUAAAGACGGACUACUGCGAAAGCAUCUGCCAUGGAUGUUUUCAUUGA